Molecule: ribosomal RNA, 738 nt
Filed under: Basidiomycota sp. 16F-3
Lineage: Eukaryota; Fungi; Basidiomycota
Description: bacterial SSU rRNA
Rfam family: Eukaryotic small subunit ribosomal RNA
Source: RNAcentral
CGGGGUUCAUUUUGUUGCUUCAGGAUCGUCGUAUGGAUUAUUAGGAUAGCUGGGGGGUUUGUAUUCCGUCGCCAAAGGGGAAAUUCUGGAAUUGCCGAAAAACAACCUACGGCAAAAGCUUUUGCCAGGGAGGUUUUCUUUGAUCAAGAACGAAGGAAGGGGGAUCGAAAACGAUCAGAUACCGUUGUAGUCUCUUCUGUAAACUAUGCCAAUUGGGGAUCGGACCAGGAUUUUCAAUGACUGUGUCGGCACCCUAAGAGAAAUCUUUAAAUGAGGUUCGGGGGGGAGUAUGGUCGCAAGGCUGAAACUUAAAGGAAUUGACGGAAGGGCACCACCAGGGGUGGAGCCUGCGGCUUAAUUUGACUCAACACGGGGAAACUCACCAGGUCCAAACACAAUAAGGAUUGACAGAUUGAUAGCUCUUUCUUGAUCUUGUGGUUGGGGGGGCAUGGCCGUUCUUAAUUGGUGGAGUGAUUUGUCUGGCUAAUUCCGAUAACGAACGAAACCUUAACCUGCUAAAUAAACCCGCCGGCUUUGGCUGGCUGCUGUCUUCUUAAAGGGACUAUUUGCGUUUAGCUGAUGGAAGUUUGAGGCAAUAACAGGUCUGUGAUGCCCUUAGAUGUUCUGGGCCGCACGCGCGCUACACUGACAGAGCCAGCGAGUCUUCUCUCCUUUGCCAGAGGGCAUGGGUAAUCUGGUGAAACUCUGUCGUGUGGGGAUAAAGCCAUUGACAAUAAA